Molecule: non-coding RNA, 75 nt
Organism: Parelaphostrongylus tenuis
Lineage: Eukaryota; Metazoa; Nematoda; Chromadorea; Rhabditida; Metastrongylidae
Source: the annotation of a GenBank genome assembly
GCCUCGGGUGGUGUAGUGGUUAGAGCACGCGUCCCCGGAUAGAAUGAAAUGUGGGCUCGAUUCCCGUCUGAGGCC